Molecule: ribosomal RNA, 402 nt
Filed under: uncultured bacterium
Lineage: Bacteria
Description: bacterial SSU rRNA
Rfam family: Bacterial small subunit ribosomal RNA
Source: RNAcentral
UGGGGAAUAUUGGACAAUGGGCGCAAGCCUGAUCCAGCCAUGCCGCGUGAGUGAUGAAGGCCCUAGGGUUGUAAAGCUCUUUUGUGCGGGAAGAUAAUGACUGUACCGCAAGAAUAAGCCCCGGCUAACUUCGUGCCAGCAGCCGCGGUAAUACGAAGGGGGCUAGCGUUGCUCGGAAUCACUGGGCGUAAAGGGUGCGUAGGCGGGUCUUUAAGUCAGGGGUGAAAUCCUGGAGCUCAACUCCAGAACUGCCUUUGAUACUGAGGAUCUUGAGUUCGGGAGAGGUGAGUGGAACUGCGAGUGUAGAGGUGAAAUUCGUAGAUAUUCGCAAGAACACCAGUGGCGAAGGCGGCUCACUGGCCCGAUACUGACGCUGAGGCACGAAAGCGAGGGUAGCAAACA